GACAUGCGGGAGACGGUCAAGAACAGCCUGGUCAAGAAAACCAGCGUUACGUUGAUCCAAACGCUGAAUUCCCCGCUAUUCCUCCAAUAAGGCCACACCGACUGUCUUAGGGAAGCCUCAGAAUCCCUGUCCUACGGAGUCUGAUCUAGGGGUGCUGGAAAGGUGGGAAUAGAAGGCCCUGCGCUGCGGGGGGCCUUUGAAAAUUUAGCAGAUAGGCCGAAGGUGGAGUGUUUGUCCUCAGCCUUUGGAUGAAAAUAAAGGAUAAACUAAGCAUGUAGAAAGCAUAUCAUUUCCUUGUCUGGACGCGGGUUCGAUUCCCGCC
This 322-nucleotide transfer-messenger RNA is filed under the name Flavobacteriia bacterium. It matches the Rfam family "transfer-messenger RNA", at positions 45 to 374 of the family's 374-position model. Rfam says of the family: Bacterial tmRNA, also known as 10Sa RNA or SsrA, is named for its dual tRNA and mRNA-like properties. The record is from RNAcentral. Lineage: Bacteria; Pseudomonadati; Bacteroidota; Flavobacteriia.